CAUGCUUCUGUUACUGCUGUGAGGAGAGCUGGUGUUCCUUUGGCCUGGGGCCCACCCAGAAUGGACACACUUGGGGGCAGACUGGAGCCCACCUUGCAUCUGGAGCUAAGCUGUCAGACCUGCAGCUUGAAGCAGGGCAGCCUGGCUGAGGCCCACCCAGAUCAGCCAACUUGCAAACACAGAAGAAACCAGUGCUUCUUGUGGUUGUCUUCUGCUCCUGAUCUGGUUGGCUGGAGACACUUAGAAGCUAU
RNAcentral lists this long non-coding RNA (251 nucleotides) under Homo sapiens (human). Its description in RNAcentral is "PREDICTED lncRNA (TCONS_00058007)". Lineage: Eukaryota; Metazoa; Chordata; Mammalia; Primates; Hominidae. The record is from RNAcentral.